Non-coding RNA from Actinomadura sp., 78 nucleotides. The record is from Rfam. Lineage: Bacteria; Bacillati; Actinomycetota; Actinomycetes; Streptosporangiales; Thermomonosporaceae.
AGCGGACCGGCUCUACCCCCCCGGAGCCGGAUCCGUUCGGCGACCCCCGCUCUCCCCCCCCGGCGGGGGUCGCCCAAU